CCUACGGGUGGCAGCAGUCGAGAAUCAUUCACAAUGGGGGAAACCCUGAUGGUGCGACGCCGCGUGGGGGAAUGAAGGUCUUCGGAUUGUAAACCCCUGUCAUGUGGGAGCAAAUUAAAAAGAUCGUACCACAAGAGGAAGAGACGGCUAACUCUGUGCCAGCAGCCGCGGUAAUACAGAGGUCUCAAGCGUUGUUCGGAAUCACUGGGCGUAAAGCGUGCGUAGGCUGUUUCGUAAGUCGUGUGUGAAAGGCGCGGGCUCAACCCGCGGACGGCACAUGAUACUGCGAGACUAGAGUAGUGGAGGGGGAACCGGAAUUCUCGGUGUAGCAGUGAAAUGCGUAGAUAUCGAGAGGAACACUCGUGGCGAAGGCGGGUUCCUGGACAUUAACUGACGCUGAGGCACGAAGGCCAGGGGAGCGAAAGGGAUUAGAUACCCGAGUAGUC
This 446-nucleotide ribosomal RNA is filed under the name uncultured bacterium. RNAcentral describes it as "partial 16S ribosomal RNA". It matches the Rfam family "Bacterial small subunit ribosomal RNA", at positions 338 to 795 of the family's 1533-position model. The record is from RNAcentral.